This 225-nucleotide ribosomal RNA is filed under the name uncultured bacterium. RNAcentral's name for it is "partial 16S ribosomal RNA". It matches the Rfam family "Bacterial small subunit ribosomal RNA", at positions 97 to 339 of the family's 1533-position model. The record is from RNAcentral.
GGCGGACGGGUGAGUAACACGUGGGAAUCUGCCUACUGGUGGGGAAUAACCUUUGGAAACGAAGGCUAAUACCGCAUAAGCCCUGAGGGGGAAAGAUUUAUUGCCAGUAGAUGAGCCCGCGUUAGAUUAGCUUGUUGGUGAGGUAAAGGCUCACCAAGGCUACGAUCUAUAGCUGGUCUGAGAGGAUGAUCAGCCACACUGGGACUGAGACACGGCCCAGACUCC